Molecule: ribosomal RNA, 978 nt
Filed under: Triticum aestivum (bread wheat)
Lineage: Eukaryota; Viridiplantae; Streptophyta; Magnoliopsida; Poales; Poaceae
Description: partial small subunit ribosomal RNA
Source: RNAcentral
AUGGCCGCGGCGGCGCCGCCCCGGCGCAUCGGCAGGUCGACCGUCCACAUGGACGGCGGCGGCGCCGACAGGCCGACGCCGCCGGCGAUUGAUGGUGUAGGCGUCACGUCCUCUGGCGCCGGGGCAGGGCGCCGGCCGGGCAUCAACCUCUUCUCGGGGCCGGUAUGUGCCGCCGUGUUCGUCUCCUUUGCGCUCUGCAUCGUCGCCUUCUGCGUCUACUCCUUCCUCGCUCGUCGCCGCGCCAUCUUCGACGCCCGCCGCAGGUUCCUCGGCCGCGUGCGCGACAACUUCAACCGCCUCUCCGAAUGGUCAGCCGACGAGCCAGUGCCGCCGCCUCCUCCGGCAGCGACGCAGCCUCCUCCGGCAUCAGUGACAACGACCGACCGCGUUGACGAGCCACCGCCUCCUCCAGUAGCGACCACGGCCCCCGGCUUUGACGUGCCACCGCCGCCUCCAGUAGCGACAACGGCCACCUGCGAUGACGUACCACCGCCUCUUCGAGCAGCGCCGGCCCGCCCUGCACGGGGAGACACCUCCAACUCUGGCCUAGGUAACUGCCCGGUGUGCCUCGAGCCAUUACACGGGCGUACCAACAUCAUGGCGGCGCAUGAGUGCGCCCAUGUGUUUCACGCGUCUUGCAUUGAGCCAUGGCUCCACAACCGGGGCUCCUGCCCCGUGUGUCAGUACACUGGCAUCCCCACCUCCAUCCCCAUCCCUGACCCCGCCUCCACCUCCACCUCCAUCGGCGACUGUCCGGUGUGCCUCGAGCCCUUGCGCCUUGAUUGUGGCGAUGUCAGGGCGGCACACGCUUGCGGUCAUGUGUUUCACUCGUGUUGCAUUGAGCCGUGGCUCAACCAACAAGGCUCAUGCCCCGUGUGCCGGUGCACUGUCAACCUCACCCCCACCUCUACCUCCACCCCCACCCCCACCUCCUACCUCCAACUCCGGACCCGUUGGCGAAUGUCCAGUGUGCCUUGA